AGCCCUUCGGGGUGGAUUAGUGGCGAACGGGUGAGUAACACGUGGGCAAUCUGCCCUUCACUCUGGGACAAGCCCUGGAAACGGGGUCUAAUACCGGAUACAACCACUGACCGCAUGGUCGGGUGGUGGAAAGCUCCGGCGGUGAAGGAUGAGCCCGCGGCCUAUCAGCUUGUUGGUGAGGUAAUGGCUCACCAAGGCGACGACGGGUAGCCGGCCUGAGAGGGCGACCGGCCACACUGGGACUGAGACACGGCCCAGACUCCUACGGGAGGCAGCAGUGGGGAAUAUUGCACAAUGGGCGAAAGCCUGAUGCAGCGACGCCGCGUGAGGGAUGACGGCCUUCGGGUUGUAAACCUCUUUCAGCAGGGAAGAAGCGAAAGUGACGGUACCUGCAGAAGAAGCGCCGGCUAACUACGUGCCAGCAGCCGCGGUAAUACGUAGGGCGCAAGCGUUGUCCGGAAUUAUUGGGCGUAAAGAGCUCGUAGGCGGCUUGUCACGUCGAUUGUGAAAGCCCGAGGCUUAACCUCGGGUCUGCAGUCGAUACGGGCUAGCUAGAGUGUGGUAGGGGAGAUCGGAAUUCCUGGUGUAGCGGUGAAAUGCGCAGAUAUCAGGAGGAACACCGGUGGCGAAGGCGGAUCUCUGGGCCAUUACUGACGCUGAGGAGCGAAAGCGUGGGGAGCGAACAGGAUUAGAUACCCUGGUAGUCCACGCCGUAAACGGUGGGAACUAGGUGUUGGCGACAUUCCACGUCGUCGGUGCCGCAGCUAACGCAUUAAGUUCCCCGCCUG
This 788-nucleotide ribosomal RNA is filed under the name Actinomycetes bacterium. RNAcentral describes it as "bacterial SSU rRNA". It matches the Rfam family "Bacterial small subunit ribosomal RNA", at positions 74 to 875 of the family's 1533-position model. Lineage: Bacteria; Bacillati; Actinomycetota; Actinomycetes. The record is from RNAcentral.